RNAcentral lists this ribosomal RNA (253 nucleotides) under uncultured bacterium. RNAcentral's name for it is "partial 16S ribosomal RNA". It matches the Rfam family "Bacterial small subunit ribosomal RNA", at positions 524 to 776 of the family's 1533-position model. The record is from RNAcentral.
UACAGAAGCCUCAAGCGUUGUUCGGAAUUACUGGGCGUAAAGGGAAUGUAGGUGGUGACGUAAGUCAGAUGUGAAAGCCCCGGGCUUAACCUGGGAAGUGCAUUUGAUACUGCGUCGCUAGAGUGCGAGAGAGGAGAGCGGAAUUCCCGGUGUAGGGGUGAAAUCCGUAGAUAUCGGGAGGAAUACCAAUGGCGUAGGCAGCUCUCUGGCUCGUAACUGACACUGAGAUUCGAAAGCAUGGGUAGCAAACAGG